GCCUUUAUAGCUUAAACAAAAGCAUUCGUCUUGUAAGCGAACGAUGAGAUACCCCCCUCUUAAGGCA
Molecule: transfer RNA, 67 nt
Filed under: Acanthodactylus schmidti
Lineage: Eukaryota; Metazoa; Chordata; Lepidosauria; Squamata; Lacertidae
Description: tRNA-Thr
Rfam family: tRNA
About the family: Transfer RNA (tRNA) molecules are approximately 80 nucleotides in length. Their secondary structure includes four short double-helical elements and three loops (D, anti-codon, and T loops).
Source: RNAcentral